This is a long non-coding RNA of Candoia aspera, 2063 nucleotides long. RefSeq lists it as uncharacterized. The transcript has 2 exons. NCBI's taxonomy places the organism in Eukaryota, Metazoa, Chordata, Lepidosauria, Squamata, Candoiidae. The record is from RefSeq and is a predicted model, not a curated record.
AUAAAAUUGCGCACGGGUUCUUUAAGACAAAGCACGUGAUGCUCCGUGCCUCAGAAGCGGAAGACGAUGGGGGAAGAUGUGGAAUUGCUAAUGUAACUUUCUCUCUUGUGCUUUUAAAAGGACAGAGAUUGCUUUUCGUAACGCUGUUGUUGUCGAGAGCACUCAAUAAACGUGAGGACUUAUUGAAAGUAAGUUGGAUGGAUUAAAACUGUUUACAAUUUGGAAAAUCUUGCCGGGAAGGGAUGACCAAAAAAACUGAAAAACCAAGACCUUGCUACAGUGGGUAUCUUACAUCACUUGUACACAUGAAACAAGAUACUUAACAAGGUAUCCUUCCAACAUAUCCUUUACAGAGCAGUUUUCUAAACAUCAAAGUCUGGAUUCUUGCUAAACCAAGGUUAUACAACUUUUUCAGAUUAUAGUUAAUGUACUUCCAUACCAUAUAUUUAACAUUUUCCACAUUACUACAUUGUGGCAAACUUUGAAAGGGAUCUACAGCCUCAGUUGUGUACCCCUACACUAAACCAAAACCAAACAAAUCCCAUUAUAGUUUAGUUUGAUAUAUGAACCCAGUAUAUUUAUGUUUCUACAGUACUUUCCACAUAUUAUGUGAACCUACUUAAAUGUCCUUCAGUUCAAAUAUAUUGUAAUUAAAUAAUACAUGAUCCUCUGGGCCUAAUUCCACUAAUGCUUAAAAACAUAACUUGCUUUGAGAAUUGUUUUGUUUUUGUAUGAAACUGUUCAGUUUAAAGUUUCACUUCUAAAAUCUUGUAAUCUGUAAAAUGUAUUAUCUCUAAAAUCUUGUAAUUAAAAUUAUUACCACUGUCAUUUUGUUGUUCUGCUCUGAGACUAAUCAAAUAAAGGCAGUUGAAAAAAGCUUGCAAAAAACGUGUCUGUUCUGGAAGCAAUGCUGUCUGGGGAUGACAGAACUAUGACUGGUAUUAGCUUUAUUGUGUUACAGAUAUUUCAAUACAAUUUUUCAUUAGUUGUCUGAGAGCCAAGGGAGAAGACAUGUUUAAGCCAUAGUAAGUGCCACUUAGAGAAUCGAAGACAUUUUGGAUUAGUUAAGAAUAAACAUGCUAUUCUCAAUAAUAAAAUCUGAAAGGGGCUUAAGAUUUUUGAAACUAAGGCUAUCAACCAGUUUCCUUUCCUAGAUGGUUAAGUAGUGAUAUUUGGAUGAAAUCUGGGCUGAAUGAUCUUUUCAGGUCACUGGACUUUGAUGUAAGAAUUCUAGCAUCACCUUAAAAAAUCAAAAAUAAAACCAAGUAUUGAUCCACUAAGCACUUUUAGCAAUUGUUCAAGUCAGUUACUCACAAUGCAGAUUAUUCUAUCUAAGUACAAGUGGCAUAAAUACAAAUGAAAUUUGAUCGAAUUCUUCUGUUUAUCUCUUUUGUGAGUUAAAAAUUCACAGCACAUCCUUUGAAAGCAUGGUUUAUUAACAUUUCAAUAAAUAAAUGUUCAGUCUCUGCCCUGGAGGAAAAUGGAGGGAAAAACAAUCCAGCCUAAAUUCCAUUGCCAGCAAUGGAUAAAGGUUAAUAAAUAGUGCUUGUCUAUUAAAAAUCUGAAGGUGUAUGGCAGUACAGACUGAAGACAGAAGUUUACUUCCUAGGGCUAAUCUAUACUUUUAAGACUAGUUUACGGUGCCAAAGUCCUAGAUUGUGUCACUUCCAAAUCUAUGAUUGCAUUUCCUACCUCAGAAUUCCUUGCAUAUUGAAAAAGCUAAACUGGAGUAGAAUCAUCCUUGCAUGGUCAUCAAAAGCAAUCCUUGAAUCCAGGAAGAUUCUGAAUUCUGUAGUAGUUCAGCCCUCGAACUGUGUAAUGCAAUUAUUAAUGUACAGAAGAGCUGAGUAUCAUAUCAGUUCCUAAGCAUGCUACCUCAAUGGAAUACUAGAAGCUUAAUGUACAACCCUCAAAAUUCUUCACAGAAGAAAAUAAGGCCCUCUGUGUGGCUUUUUGUAUAUAGUUUUCUCACCAAAAAUAGUGAUACUGCAUUUAAAAUAGAAUUGUGUCUAACAUUAGAAAAUCUAGUGAUUUCAUAUUAUAUGAAAGUGAGAUGCAUCAGU